Molecule: ribosomal RNA, 441 nt
Filed under: uncultured bacterium
Lineage: Bacteria
Description: partial 16S ribosomal RNA
Rfam family: Bacterial small subunit ribosomal RNA
Source: RNAcentral
CCUACGGGUGGCAGCAGUGGGGAAUAUUGCACAAUGCGGGAAACCCUGAUGCAGCGACGCCGCGUGAGUGAAGAAGUCUUUCGGUACGUAAAGCUCUAUCAGCAGGGAAGAAAAUACCCGGUACCUACCUAAGAAGCCCCGGCUAACUACGUCCCAGCAGCCGCGGGAAUACGUAGGGGCCAAGCGUUAUCCGGAUUUACUGGGUGUAAAGGGAGCGUAGAGGGAGUUGCAAGUCAGAAGUGAAAGCCCAGGGCCCAACCCUGGGACUGCUUUGGAAACUGGUGUGCUAGAGUGCUGGAGAGGAAGGUGGAAUUCCUAGUGUAGCGGUGAAAUGCGUAGAUAUGAGGAGGAACACCAGUGGCGAAGGCGGCUUACUGGACAGAAACUGACGUUGAGGCUCGAAAGCGUGGGGAGCAAACAGGAUUAGAUACCCUUGUAGUC